AGUGAACGCUGGCGGUAGGCCUAACACACGCAAGUCGAACGGCAGCACAGUAAGAGCUUGCUCUUACGGGUGGCGAGUGGCGGACGGGUGAGGAAUACAUCGGAAUCUACUUUUUCGUGGGGGAUAACGUAGGGAAACUUACGCCAAUACCGCAUACGACCUAAGGGUGAAAGCAGGGGAUCUUCGGACCUUGCGCGAUUGAAUGAGCCGAUGUCGGAUUAGCUAGUUGGCGGGGUAAAGGCCCACCAAGGCGACGAUCCGUAGCUGGUCUGAGAGGAUGAUCAGCCACACUGGAACUGAGACACGGUCCAGACUCCUACGGGAGGCAGCAGUGGGGAAUAUUGGACAAAGGGCGCAAGCCUGAUCCAGCCAUACCGCGUGGGUGAAGAAGGCCUUCGGGUUGUAAAGCCCUUUUGUUGGGAAAGAAAAGCAGCAGGUUAAUACCCCGCUGUUCUGACGGUACCCAAAGAAUAAGCACCGGCUAACUUCGUG
RNAcentral lists this ribosomal RNA (492 nucleotides) under uncultured bacterium. RNAcentral describes it as "partial 16S ribosomal RNA". It matches the Rfam family "Bacterial small subunit ribosomal RNA", at positions 29 to 507 of the family's 1533-position model. The record is from RNAcentral.